Molecule: ribosomal RNA, 557 nt
Filed under: uncultured Beijerinckiaceae bacterium
Lineage: Bacteria; Pseudomonadati; Pseudomonadota; Alphaproteobacteria; Hyphomicrobiales; Beijerinckiaceae
Description: bacterial SSU rRNA
Rfam family: Bacterial small subunit ribosomal RNA
Source: RNAcentral
ACGGGUGAGUAACACGUGGGAACAUGCCCUUCGGUUCGGAAUAACUCAGGGAAACUUGAGCUAAUACCGGAUACGUCCGCGAGGAGAAAGAUUCAUCGCCGAAGGAUUGGCCCGCGUCUGAUUAGCUAGUUGGUGAGGUAACGGCUCACCAAGGCGACGAUCAGUAGCUGGUCUGAGAGGAUGAUCAGCCACAUUGGGACUGAGACACGGCCCAAACUCCUACGGGAGGCAGCAGUGGGGAAUAUUGGACAAUGGGCGAAAGCCUGAUCCAGCCAUGCCGCGUGAGUGAUGAAGGCCCUAGGGUUGUAAAGCUCUUUUACCUGGGAAGAUAAUGACGGUACCAGGAGAAUAAGCCCCGGCUAACUUCGUGCCAGCAGCCGCGGUAAUACGAAGGGGGCUAGCGUUGUUCGGAAUCACUGGGCGUAAAGAGCACGUAGGCGGAUCUUUAAGUCAGGGGUGAAAUCCCGAGGCUCAACCUCGGAACUGCCUUUGAUACUGGGGAUCUCGAGUCCGGGAGAGGUGAGUGGAACUGCGAGUGUAGAGGUGAAAUUCGUAGA